GUCUAAGGCCAUACCACCUUGAACACUCCUGAUCUCAUCUGAUCUCAGAAGAAAAAGAGGAAACACAUUUAACCACCAUACUUACUUUAAUCU
RNAcentral lists this ribosomal RNA (93 nucleotides) under Octodon degus (degu). Lineage: Eukaryota; Metazoa; Chordata; Mammalia; Rodentia; Octodontidae. The record is from RNAcentral.